AUGAAAUAUUUUGUUCAGACCACGUCACGAUUAUACUAGCAGAAAUAUGGAAGACGAUACAUGUCUUCAGCGAAGCACAUAUUUACCGUUUUUAAACGAUCCAACAGUGAUAUCGCAAUAUUCGGGCCUAACUUUUUGCUCGGAUGAAUGUGGCAGGCUCAAGGACGCCGGCGUCUCGCCGUCAGCGAGUGCGCAGCGCGGAGCAAUACAGCAUUGUCACCUGAGCCGCUAACUGGAAGCCCGCGAAAUUCUUUCCUCGUAAACGCAUGAGACGCUCCGUGAAGUUUUAAGUGUUUGGAAGUGCAUCUAGUGUUUGGUCUUUGGCCGACUGUACCCCCGCAAAGCAAAGCCAGCCGUGUGGACAGUGAAGAAGCAGAUAUUGCACGCUGAAAACAUCACCUCAUCACAGAUGCAUCGUGCACUGACACUAUCUUGUGGUCUCCAGAGACGAGUACAACCUGCGCUAUGGGAAACCGGUACACAUCUUUGUGGAAACUGGC
This is a long non-coding RNA of Ornithodoros turicata, 500 nucleotides long. RefSeq lists it as uncharacterized. The record is from RefSeq and is a predicted model, not a curated record. The transcript has 3 exons. Lineage: Eukaryota; Metazoa; Arthropoda; Arachnida; Ixodida; Argasidae.